RNAcentral lists this ribosomal RNA (1384 nucleotides) under uncultured bacterium. Its description in RNAcentral is "bacterial SSU rRNA". It matches the Rfam family "Bacterial small subunit ribosomal RNA", at positions 18 to 1395 of the family's 1533-position model. The record is from RNAcentral.
CCUGGCUCAGAUUGAACGCUGGCGGCAGGCCUAACACAUGCAAGUCGAACGGUAACAGGAAACAGCUUGCUGUUUCGCUGACGAGUGGCGGACGGGUGAGUAAUGUCUGGGAAACUGCCUGAUGGAGGGGGAUAACUACUGGAAACGGUAGCUAAUACCGCAUAAUGUCGCAAGACCAAAGAGGGGGACCUUCGGGCCUCUUGCCAUCGGAUGUGCCCAGAUGGGAUUAGCUAGUAGGUGGGGUAACGGCUCACCUAGGCGACGAUCCCUAGCUGGUCUGAGAGGAUGACCAGCCACACUGGAACUGAGACACGGUCCAGACUCCUACGGGAGGCAGCAGUGGGGAAUAUUGCACAAUGGGCGCAAGCCUGAUGCAGCCAUGCCGCGUGUAUGAAGAAGGCCUUCGGGUUGUAAAGUACUUUCAGCGGGGAGAAGGGAGUAAAGUUAAUACCUUGCCUCAUGAACGUACCCGCAGAAGAAGCACCGGCUAACUCCGUGCCAGCAGCCGCGUAAAUACGGAGGGUGCAAGCGUUAAUCGGAAUUACUGGGCGUAAAGCGCACGCAGGCGGUUGUNAAGUCAGAUGUGAAAUCNCCGGGCUCAACCUGGGAACUGCAUCUGAUACUGGCAAGCUUGAGUCUCGUAGAGGGGGGUAGAAUUCCAGGUGUAGCGGUGAAAUGCGUAGAGAUCUGGAGGAAUACCGGUGGCGAAGGCGGCCCCCUGGACGAAGACUGACGCUCAGGUGCGAAAGCGUGGGGAGCAAACAGGAUUAGAUACCCUGGUAGUCCACGCCGUAAACGAUGUCGACUUGGAGGUUGUGCCCUUGAGGCGUGGCUUCCGGAGCUAACGCGUUAAGUCGACCGCCUGGGGAGUACGGCCGCAAGGUUAAAACUCAAAUGAAUUGACGGGGGCCCGCACAAGCGGUGGAGCAUGUGGUUUAAUUCGAUGCAACGCGAAGAACCUUACCUGGUCUUGACAUCCACAGAACUUUCCAGAGAUGGAUUGGUGCCUUCGGGAACUGUGAGACAGGUGCUGCAUGGCUGUCGUCAGCUCGUGUUGUGAAAUGUUGGGUUAAGUCCCGCAACGAGCGCAACCCUUAUCCUUUGUUGCCAGCGGUCCGGCCGGGAACUCAAAGGAGACUGCCAGUGAUAAACUGGAGGAAGGUGGGGAUGACGUCAAGUCAUCAUGGCCCUUACGACCAGGGCUACACACGUGCUACAAUGGCGCAUACAAAGAGAAGCGACCUCGCGAGAGCAAGCGGACCUCAUAAAGUGCGUCGUAGUCCGGAUUGGAGUCUGCAACUCGACUCCAUGAAGUCGGAAUCGCUAGUAAUCGUGGAUCAGAAUGCCACGGUGAAUACGUUCCCAGGCCUUGUACACACCGCCC